CCGUUCUCCAGGCGCGGGCUGAGCACCCGCAUGAAGGGCGGCGAGAAGGGGAAGUUGUCGGGGAAGAGCGGUCUGAGGGGCAGCACAGGACGCACCCAGAUGAUUGAUUCCUUCCGAUCGGAUGGACGUGACCCUGAUGGAUGAUUGGUUCCUUCGAAUCCGAUGGACGUGACCCUGAUUGAUGCCUGCGAAUCAAAUGGAUGUGACCCUGAUGAUUGGUUCCUUCUUAUCAGAUGGACGAGACCCCGAAGGGAGAUUGAUUCCUUUGAAUCGGAUGGAUGUGACCCUGAUUGAUGAUUGGCUCCUUGGGGUCAGAUGAUGUGUUUACCGUGAAAGGACGCGUCAGCCUCCUGUGACAGGCGGCCUCUCCUGACUGCCUGGGUUGAGAUUAGGACAAGUCUAGGAAGACAGCUCACAUCGCUUGUGGCAGAUGGGCAGGAGGCGGCUACCUUGCCGGGUCUCCAGGAAGGACUAAGAGACA
Long non-coding RNA from Dipodomys ordii (Ord's kangaroo rat), 481 nucleotides. RefSeq lists it as uncharacterized. The transcript has 3 exons. The record is from RefSeq and is a predicted model, not a curated record. Lineage: Eukaryota; Metazoa; Chordata; Mammalia; Rodentia; Heteromyidae.